Molecule: non-coding RNA, 796 nt
Organism: Taeniopygia guttata (zebra finch)
Lineage: Eukaryota; Metazoa; Chordata; Aves; Passeriformes; Estrildidae
Source: RefSeq, a predicted model, not a curated record
UCUGCAGACUCAGGCUGUCACUUCCAGUUCAGAAUCUCAGGCUAAGUGCCAAACUUCAGCACAGAACAACGCCUCACCUCUGACUGUUGCUGAGCUCCUUGGCUUGUGUACCUUACCCAGCAAGGCUUCAGCAACUUAGUGCUCAGAAUAUUAACAAUACUGAAACAGGGAAUUGCUUCCUGGUAAGCCUUCAGUGUCUGUCUAGCUGAAAUGAUUUUACACCCUUCUUGCGGUUCAUAGUGGGAAUGGUCUCACAAAGGACACAAAGAUCUGAACAUCAGAUUUAGGUGAAAAAUUUCCUGCUUCAGCCUCUCUUGCCUGUGAUGCACAGUAAAUACAUCAGCUACAGGUCUCAGGAGAGGCUGAUCUAAAAAGAAGGCUCCUGCUGCUGUCUUAUCUCAGGUGAGAGGUGAUUUACUGUUUAAAGGAAUAAGAGCCAGGCCACAUUUGCAAAAAGAAAAUACAAGUGAAGGAAGUUGUAGGUAUGUUUUUUUAUUGUGCACAAACUAGUGAGACAAUGUGGCUGUAGCGAAAAGGGAUCUAAUAAAAAAAAUCAGAUCUGCACUUUUCUCCCUGACAAAGCUGUGGGGUAUCUGCUUAGAAGUCUUUCCAGUUAUUGCAAAAACACACCUUUCUAGCUAAUGCAAAAAGGUGAAAUCCAACUGAAUGUGUCCAAAAUACAACUGCAGCUUUUAAAGAGAUAGUAGUGUAAAAAUAAUGUAUUUACAUAUCUCCAAAUGAAGCUUUCAAAACUGGUUAAAGCAAAACAUACUUUUCCCACUGGGAACCUGUGCCA